RNAcentral lists this ribosomal RNA (228 nucleotides) under uncultured bacterium. Its description in RNAcentral is "partial 16S ribosomal RNA". It matches the Rfam family "Bacterial small subunit ribosomal RNA", at positions 17 to 240 of the family's 1533-position model. The record is from RNAcentral.
AUCUGGCUCAGGAUGAACGCUAGCGACAGGCUUAACACAUGCAAGUCGAGGGGCAGCGGGGUGUAGCAAUACACCGCCGGCGACCGGCGCACGGGUGAGUAACGCGUAUGCAACUUGCCUAUCAGAGGGGGAUAACCCGGCGAAAGUCGGACUAAUACCGCAUGAAGCAGGGGCCCGCAUGGGGAUAUUUGCUAAAGAUUCAUCGCUGAUAGAUAGGCAUGCGUUCCA